This is a long non-coding RNA of Prosopis cineraria, 288 nucleotides long. RefSeq lists it as uncharacterized. The transcript is spliced from 3 exons. The record is from RefSeq and is a predicted model, not a curated record. NCBI's taxonomy places the organism in Eukaryota, Viridiplantae, Streptophyta, Magnoliopsida, Fabales, Fabaceae.
GCCCUCAUUAGAUAACAGAGAAAGGUAACACUCUAGAGUUAAAGGCCAAGUACCUCCAAUAGAGAAUAUGUGAAGUCAAAAAGGACAUUUUUAUGGCUCCAUAUGUGCACUCGGUAAUGAGCACAUAUUAAAAUGUAGUCUUACAAAAGCAUAGACAUGAGCUCAAGGAUCUCAUGUGGAUUGAACCAAAGAGUCAUAGAUAACCAGUAAGGAUGAACUUGUGCGGUCUAUAUGUUAUGAGAGACAUGCUCAACAUCAUCACAUUAGCCGUGACCGAAUUUACACAAG